GACGAACGCUGGCGGCGUGCUUAACACAUGCAAGUCGAACGGAAAGGCCCUGCUUUUGUGGGGUGCUCGAGUGGCGAACGGGUGAGUAACACGUGAGUAACCUGCCCUUGACUUUGGGAUAACUUCAGGAAACUGGGGCUAAUACCGGAUAGGAGCUCCUGCUGCAUGGUGGGGGUUGGAAAGUUUCGGCGGUUGGGGAUGGACUCGCGGCUUAUCAGCUUGUUGGUGGGGUAGUGGAUUACCAAGGCUUUGACGGGUAGCCGGCCUGAGAGGGUGACCGGCCACAUUGGGCCUGCGAUACGGCCCAGACUCCUACGGGAGGCAGCAGUGGGGAAUAUUGCACAAUGGGCGGAAGCCUGAUGCAGCAACGCCGCGUGCGGGAUGACGGCCUUCGGGUUGUAAACCGCUUUCGCCUGUGACGAAGCGUGAGUGACGGUAAUGGGUAAAGAAGCACCGGCUAACUACGUG
This 468-nucleotide ribosomal RNA is filed under the name uncultured bacterium. Its description in RNAcentral is "partial 16S ribosomal RNA". It matches the Rfam family "Bacterial small subunit ribosomal RNA", at positions 28 to 507 of the family's 1533-position model. The record is from RNAcentral.